GAUGAACGCUGGCGGCGUGCCUAAUACAUGCAAGUCGAGCGAACGGACGAGAAGCUUGCUUCUCUGAUGUUAGCGGCGGACGGGUGAGUAACACGUGGAUAACCUACCUAUAAGACUGGGAUAACUUCGGGAAACCGGAGCUAAUACCGGAUAAUAUUUUGAACCGCAUGGUUCAAAAGUGAAGGACGGUCUUGCUGUCACUUAUAGAUGGAUCCGCGCUGCAUUAGCUAGUUGGUAAGGUAACGGCUUACCAAGGCAACGAUGCAUAGCCGACCUGAGAGGAUGAUCGGCCACACUGGAACUGAGACACGGUCCAGACUCCUACGGGAGGCAGCAGUAGGGAAUCUUCCGCAAUGGGCGAAAGCCUGACGGAGCAACGCCGCGUGAGUGAUGAAGGUCUUCGGAUCGUAAAACUCUGUUAUUAGGGAAGAACAUAUGUGUAAGUAACUGUGCACAUCUUGACGGUACCUAAUCAGAAAGCCACGGCUAACUACGUGCCAGCAGCCGCGGUAAUACGUAGGUGGCAAGCGUUAUCCGGAAUUAUUGGGCGUAAAGCGCGCGUAGGCGGUUUUUUAAGUCUGAUGUGAAAGCCCACGGCUCAACCGUGGAGGGUCAUUGGAAACUGGAAAACUUGAGUGCAGAAGAGGAAAGUGGAAUUCCAUGUGUAGCGGUGAAAUGCGCAGAGAUAUGGAGGAACACCAGUGGCGAAGGCGACUUUCUGGUCUGUAACUGACGCUGAUGUGCGAAAGCGUGGGGAUCAAACAGGAUUAGAUACCCUGGUAGUCCACGCCGUAAACGAUGAGUGCUAAGUGUUAGGGGGUUUCCGCCCCUUAGUGCUGCAGCUAACGCAUUAAGCACUCCGCCUGGGGAGUACGACCGCAAGGUUGAAACUCAAAGGAAUUGACGGGGACCCGCACAAGCGGUGGAGCAUGUGGUUUAAUUCGAAGCAACGCGAAGAACCUUACCAAAUCUUGACAUCCUUUGACAACUCUAGAGAUAGAGCUUUCCCCUUCGGGGGACAAAGUGACAGGUGGUGCAUGGUUGUCGUCAGCUCGUGUCGUGAGAUGUUGGGUUAAGUCCCGCAACGAGCGCAACCCUUAAGCUUAGUUGCCAUCAUUAAGUUGGGCACUCUAAGUUGACUGCCGGUGACAAACCGGAGGAAGGUGGGGAUGACGUCAAAUCAUCAUGCCCCUUAUGAUUUGGGCUACACACGUGCUACAAUGGACAAUACAAAGGGCAGCGAAACCGCGAGGUCAAGCAAAUCCCAUAAAGUUGUUCUCAGUUCGGAUUGUAGUCUGCAACUCGACUACAUGAAGCUGGAAUCGCUAGUAAUCGUAGAUCAGCAUGCUACGGUGAAUACGUUCCCGGGUCU
RNAcentral lists this ribosomal RNA (1372 nucleotides) under uncultured bacterium. RNAcentral's name for it is "bacterial SSU rRNA". It matches the Rfam family "Bacterial small subunit ribosomal RNA", at positions 28 to 1381 of the family's 1533-position model. The record is from RNAcentral.